This 618-nucleotide ribosomal RNA is filed under the name Filobasidium wieringae. RNAcentral's name for it is "eukaryotic LSU rRNA". It matches the Rfam family "Eukaryotic large subunit ribosomal RNA", at positions 50 to 654 of the family's 3401-position model. The record is from RNAcentral. Lineage: Eukaryota; Fungi; Basidiomycota; Tremellomycetes; Filobasidiales; Filobasidiaceae.
GCGGAGGAAAAGAAACUAACAAGGAUUCCCCUAGUAACGGCGAGUGAAGCGGGAAGAGCUCAAAUUUGAAAUCUGGUGGCCUCAGGUCAUCCGAGUUGUAAUCUAUAGAAACGUUUUCCGUGCUGGCUCAUGUACAAGUCCCUUGGAACAGGGCGUCAUAGAGGGUGAGAAUCCCGUCCUUGACAUGAACUACCAGUGCUCUGUGAUACGUUUUCAACGAGUCGAGUUGUUUGGGAAUGCAGCUCAAAAUGGGUGGUAAAUUCCAUCUAAAGCUAAAUAUUGGCGAGAGACCGAUAGCGAACAAGUACCGUGAGGGAAAGAUGAAAAGCACUUUGGAAAGAGAGUUAAACAGUAUGUGAAAUUGUUAAAAGGGAAACGAUUGAAGUCAGUCGUGCUCUUUGGAUUCAGCCGGUUCUGCCGGUGUACUUCCAUUGAGUGGGGUCAACAUCAGUUUUGAUCGCUGGAUAAAGGCAGGAAGAAUGUAGCACCUCCGGGUGAACUUAUAGCUUUCUGUCACAUACAGUGGUUGGGACUGAGGAACGCAGCAUGCCUUUAUGGCCGGGAUUCGUCCACGUACAUGCUUAGGAUGUUGACAUAAUGGCUUUAAACGACCCGUCU